CCAUUUGACCUCAAAUCAGGUAGGACUACCCGCUGAACUUAAGC
RNAcentral lists this ribosomal RNA (44 nucleotides) under Trogia venenata. Its description in RNAcentral is "partial 28S ribosomal RNA". Lineage: Eukaryota; Fungi; Basidiomycota; Agaricomycetes; Agaricales; Porotheleaceae. The record is from RNAcentral.